AUGAUAUAAAUUGUCUUACCUUCAGUGCUGGCCCUUGUAAGGGUAUGUGCACGUUGGGGGGCAUAUAUCCAACACCCACUUGUGAACCAUUGGCCUUUGCUGGCUUCGGCUGGUAGAGGAUUUACACAAACACGAAUGUAAUGAAAAAAUGUUGUGCUAAGCACUAAUAAA
RNAcentral lists this unclassified non-coding RNA (171 nucleotides) under uncultured Sebacina. RNAcentral's name for it is "sequence contains ITS1". Lineage: Eukaryota; Fungi; Basidiomycota; Agaricomycetes; Sebacinales; Sebacinaceae. The record is from RNAcentral.